Felis catus (domestic cat) is the source of this 4858-nucleotide long non-coding RNA. RefSeq lists it as uncharacterized. NCBI's taxonomy places the organism in Eukaryota, Metazoa, Chordata, Mammalia, Carnivora, Felidae. The record is from RefSeq and is a predicted model, not a curated record. The transcript is spliced from 2 exons.
UCUGUUGAGGACUUCGGAACGAAGCCUGUGAAGAACCCAGCUCUGGCCGAUUGCACAAUUUCUCCCCUAGGUGGCGGCAGCGCACAAGCUGUGCAAGGGCAAGCCUCUGACCCCUGGAAACCAGAGCCUGGAAAGUGAAGAGAACUCAACCCGGAAGUGAGGGCACAACCGAUUCCUAAACAGGCAGCCAGCCCACGAUAGCUGGAGGCGUGUUGGGUCUCUGAGGAGAGCGCUGGAUGACUCCGAGAGUUUGGAGCGUUAUGUGUUAAUACCAAGUGACGUGGAGAAUUAACAAGAGCCGCUAAGAAAGUUGACUACUAGGGACCAAAGCCUCAAGUCCCCCCGGGGGCCAGGAGUCCAACAACUGCAUUUCUCAGACUCCCCUGCGAGCUGUUUACCGGGGAAGCCCUGUCAGCAGGAGGCACCAGCGGGAAACCGGAAGAGGAGCCUCUCCCUGUGUGUGGCGCUGGAAGCAGCAGCCGCGGCUGGUGAUAACGGGUUCCAACAACGUCACUGCGGUCAAAGCAGCGACAGAGUUCCAGAAACCACAGCAGCAGCUCCAGUCCAGGUAGCAGAUUCCUGAUCUCUGGACGAUCCCCGUCCUCAUCCCAUUUUUACCUUCUCCAGUUUGGCCAACACGUUUGUAACCGAUUCGCCGCAUCGCAUCCUGUUUUACUCCGUCCGGAGUGGCUUCUGUUUUCUUGUCUUGAUAUUGACUGAUACAAUACGCAAAUUGUCCGAUGCAAACAGACCCUGAUCAGGGUGCAUGGGGUGGGGGGUGUAGUGAGGAGGGGUCGCUGGCUUCUAAAGCUAAUCUCUGUUCUACUCAACCCUGACCACUUUGACCACUUUUAUGGCACAACUGUGACCCUUGUCACCACCAGCCACUCAAGCUGGUUCUUUUUUGUUUUAUUAAGAGUUUAUUUUUAAGUAGUCUCCACAUCGGGUUGGCCCUUCGUGUUUUGAAUUUGACCCCUAGUAAUUGUCCCUUGGCUCCACCCCUCAGCCCCACUCUUUGCCCUUUGAAAGCUUGGCUGCCCCCUCUUUGGUGGUGGCCCUUGGUUACCUCUUGAUGCAGGCUUCUUGUGCGUUUGACGUUCCUGCUCUGACUCCCCCAAGCCAGGCUCCACACACAAUCUGCCCUAUUCCCAUCCCAGGAAGCAGGCAAAGCUCGUUUAAAAAUCCCAAGAGUGUUAGCCUGUGUUCAACCAGAGAAGUAGAACCCAUAGUAAAAAGGGUAAAAAUACACAGAAGAAUAGGGGAUCAAGGGAUUGUUAGAGGAAGGGGCCCCACACAAUUGAGGGAGCCGGUUAAGUAGUCUCUGUGAGUAUGUGGUCUCCAUGCCUGAUGCUGGAACUUCAAGUCCAUAGGACAGGGAAUCAGGAAGAGAAGAUGGAUGUCAAGGACGGGGUAGAAGCCACAGAGGGGGCUGGUGCUCCAGAGGAUGGUCUGAAACCAUGUCAGUUCUUGUUGCCUCUGACCCUGUGGUAUGCCUCUGACCCUCAGCAGAAGCUGAGUUGAAGAUAUGGAGCUGGGAGUACAAUGAGCAAAUACUCUUAAAGCUCAGAGGGCAGAGAAUCAGAACAGAACUGCAUAGAAAGUGCUCUGAUGAUCGGCAGAAGGUCCGCCUUGAGUUUUUCAGUGGGAAACUGAUCAGUGCAAGCAUGUGAGGAAAUCACCCAAGCCUAGUAAAACCAUCCAAAAGGAUUAGAAGGAGCAAUCACUCAGCUCACAUAGGAUCAAGAAUGGUUCCUAUUCUCACAAAACAAAGUAAAAAAAAAAAACCCUCAUAAUUCACAGGGCAUCCAACAGAAUACCCAAAAAAGGUUAGCUUUGCCUCAGUACUGGGGCAAAAUCAGCCCAAACUAAUAGUGCCUGGUCCUACUUAACCAAACAUAAAUCUAAGACAUGAAAGGGUCAAACUAUUCCCAAGUAGUUUAACUGCAUUCCAGAACAAAGCUCAAGCUUAUUUUCAGACAUUACAAAAUGUCUAGUACCAAACAAAGUAAUACUCACAAUCUCUGACAUCCAAUAAAAAAUGAUCAGGCAUGCAAAGAAGCAGGAAAAUAUAACCUCCUCAUAAUUGAGGAGAAAAAUCAGUCAAUAGAAAGACACAGAAAUGAAACAGAUGAUAGAAUUAGUAGACAAAGGCAUUAAAACAAGUAUUAGAACCAAUUUCUAUAUGUUCAAGGAGAUAAAGGAAAGAUGGACUGUGUUAAUCAGACAUAUGGAAGAUUAUAAAAAUUCAAAUCAAGAAUCUAGAGAUGAAAGUUACAGUUUCAGAUGAGAAAUAUACUGGAUGGGAUUAAUAGAAGAUUAGACAUUUCAGAAGAAAGCAUUAGUAAACUUGAAGACAUAGCCUUAGAAACUGUCCAGAAUGAAACUCAAAGCAGAAGAAAGCUAAAAAUAAACAGAGCAUCAAUGAACUGUGAAGCAAUUUCAAACAGCCUAAUGUAUAUGUAAUCGAAGUUUUCAAAGAAGAAGGGAAGAGGGGGCAGAAAAAAAGAAAUAAUGGCUGAAACAUUUUCGAGUUUGAUGAAAAGGAUAAUUCCACAGAUCCAGGAAACUUCACAAAUUCCAAGCAGCAGCCUCUCCAUCACCACAACAAAAAACUGAUAUCAAGGUACAUUAUAAUUAAAUUGCUUAAAACCAAGGAUAAAGAGAAAAAUCUUAAAAGCAACCAGAGAAAUUUCACUUACAGUCGUAGGACUCAAAGAAUUGAAAGUAGAAAUUCAAACAGUACUCACACACCUUUGUUUAUAGCAGCGUUAUUCACAAAAGCUAACAGAUGAAAACAACUUAGUUGUUUGACAGAUGAAUGGAUAAGAAAUGUGAUAUGUGCAUCCAGGGGAAUGUUAUUCAAUCAUAAAAAGAAAUGAAAUUCUGAGACAUGCUCCAGCAUGGGGGAAUUUUGAGGACAUUAAUGAAUAACAAUGAGUGAAAUCGACGAGACACAAAAGCACAAAUAUUAUAUGAUUCCACUUAUAUGAAGUAUCGAGAACAAGCAAAUACACAGAGACAGAAAGCACAAUAGAGGUUAUUGGAGGUGUGGGAAAGGGGGGGAUGAAGAGUUACUGUUUAAUGGGUACAGAGUUUCUAUAUGGAAUGAUGAAGAAGUUCUGGGACAUGGAGAGUGGAGAUGAUUGCACAAGACCGUGAAUAUAUUUAAUGCCAUUUAAUGCCAUUACUUAAAAAUGGGUAAAAUGAUAAAUUUUAUGUUCUGUAAAUUUUAUCACAAUAAAGACAGAGCACUCAGAGAAGGCAAAACUGUAGAAACAUUAAAAAGGUCGGUCAUUGCCCGAGGCUCGGAGGCAGGCAGGGAGGGAGGAAUGAGUAGAUGAACUACAGGAGAUUUUUAGGGUGGUAAAACCAUUCUUUAUGGUACGGUAAUGGAUAUUAUGCAUCUGUGAAAACCCAUAGAACUAUACAAUGCAAAAAAAUAAACCCUUAUAUAAACUAAGGACUUUAGUUAAUGAUGUGUCAAUAUUGGUUUAUUAAUGGUAACAAAUGUACCAUACUAAGGCAAGAUGUUAAAAAUAGAGAAAACUGUAUGGGAAGAGGGAAGGUAUAUGGGAACACUCUAUGUUUUCCUCUCAACCUUUAUCUAAAUUAAACUGUUGUAAAAAGUAAAGUCUACUCAUAAAAAUAAAAAAUAAACAAUGAGCAGGCAGAGAAAGAAACGUAUACGAAGAAACAAUUUAAGAAGGACAGCAGACCUCUCCUAGGAAGCAAUGCAACCCAGGGGAUAGUGGAGGAAGGCACCACCAGAAAAAACUAUCAGCUUGGAAUUCUUUACCAAGCUCAAUGCUGUUCAAAACUGAAGAUGAAAUAACGGCUUUUUAUUUAUAAAAAAAAUGCUCUCAGAAUUUAUCACCAGCAGACACACACUGCAAGAAAUGUUAAAGGAAAUCUUUCAGGCAGAAUGAAAGUGAUGCCAGAUGGAAGUGUCGAUCACACAAAGCGAAUGAAGAAGAAAGGAAACAGGAACUAUGUGGAUAAAUGUGAAGGUAUCUGGGUGCUGCCGAUUUCUGAGUUUUGGGGGGGCCCCAAUGCAAUGUUAAACAGGUUGAUGCUAAUGUUAAACAGCCUUCUUGAUGGUUCAGUCCUUUUGAGCUUGCUACGUCAUUUAUGUCUUUAGGCCAUUAUGACAGACCAUUUGCUUUCCUGAUUCCAAAGUUUUCAACGUUUGUCACCUCUCCCAUUGUUUCGGCCAUUCCCCCCAGGACUGGUGCGCAUAUCCCAUCUGUUGUUGUGUAUCAGAAACAGAUGAAAUAUACAUAUAACGUUCAAAUAUUAAAAACAAAUAAACAGAGCAUUGGUGAGCUGUGGGGCAAUUCUUCCUUCAAGUUCCAUGUCCCUUGGUUAAAGUAUAUUACCAGUGUGACUUCCCUUCAAAUUCAUUCUUGUCACUGCUAUAUAAAUUUCCCAUCAGGUCUGGAAGGCGUUGAUGAACCGUUUUCCAUCAUAAUUCAACUUUGAAUCACUUAUUUAAUAAGAAUACUCACAUUUGUGAGACACGCAGGUGUUUUAGACUGAAAAUGUGAUAUCAUGCAGUUAUUAGAAGCAGUAGGAAGUUGUGUGGGGCACCAGGAAGAAGCCUUUCUGGUUCCGGGACGGUCGCUGCUCAGGAGUUCUGGGUUCUAAUUCCAGUUUUCUCAAUACUAGCCGUCUGUCUUUGGUUAACUGACAUGGCUUAUCUGGAUCUCACGGUCUUCAUCUGUAUUUUAAUGAUGGGGUUGUGUUUGGGGGGAUUUAAGCAUUUUAUUUUUCUCUAAAAACAUUUUCUGUGUAUUCUGGCACAGUGGAGACAAAUCUCAUUUUUCUCAUCCAGUUAGAGAAUAAAAACAAUCUCUGAGCA